RNAcentral lists this ribosomal RNA (429 nucleotides) under uncultured bacterium. Its description in RNAcentral is "bacterial SSU rRNA". It matches the Rfam family "Bacterial small subunit ribosomal RNA", at positions 355 to 776 of the family's 1533-position model. The record is from RNAcentral.
UGGGGAAUCUUGGACAAUGGGGGCAACCCUGAUCCAGCGAUGCCGCGUGGGUGAAGAAGGCCUUCGGGUUGUAAAGCCCUUUAGGCCGGGAAGAAGGUAAUUAGCUGAAUAAGUUAGUUGCUUGACUGUACCGGCGAAAUAAGCACCGGCUAACUCUGUGCCAGCAGCCGCGGUAAUACAGAGGGUGCGAGCGUUAAUCGGAAUUACUGGGCGUAAAGGGCGCGUAGGUGGUAGCGUGUGAAAGAUGUGAAAGCCCCGGGCUUAACCUGGGAAGUGCAUCUUUAACUGCGCAACUAGAGUACAGCAGAGGGUGGCGGAAUUUCCGGUGUAGCGGUGAAAUGCGUAGAGAUCGGAAGGAACGUCGGUGGCGAAGGCGGCCACCUGGGCUGAUACUGACACUGAGGCGCGAAAGCGUGGGGAGCGAACAGG